Molecule: ribosomal RNA, 1212 nt
Filed under: Phocaeicola coprophilus
Lineage: Bacteria; Pseudomonadati; Bacteroidota; Bacteroidia; Bacteroidales; Bacteroidaceae
Description: bacterial SSU rRNA
Rfam family: Bacterial small subunit ribosomal RNA
Source: RNAcentral
GAUUUAUCGGUAAGCGAUGGGGAUGCGUUCCAUUAGGCAGUUGGCGGGGUAACGGCCCACCAAACCUACGAUGGAUAGGGGUUCUGAGAGGAAGGUCCCCCACAUUGGAACUGAGACACGGUCCAAACUCCUACGGGAGGCAGCAGUGAGGAAUAUUGGUCAAUGGGCGAGAGCCUGAACCAGCCAAGUAGCGUGAAGGAUGACGGCCCUACGGGUUGUAAACUUCUUUUGUGCGGGAAUAAAGGAACCUACGUGUAGGUUUUUGCAUGUACCGUAACGAAUAAGCAUCGGCUAACUCCGUGCCAGCAGCCGCGGUAAUACGGAGGAUGCGAGCGUUAUCCGGAUUUAUUGGGUUUAAAGGGAGCGUAGACGGGUUUUUAAGUCAGCUGUGAAAGUUUGGGGCUCAACCUUAAAAUUGCAGUUGAAACUGGAGACCUUGAGUACGGUUGAGGCAGGCGGAAUUCGUGGUGUAGCGGUGAAAUGCUUAGAUAUCACGAAGAACCCCGAUUGCGAAGGCAGCCUGCUAAGCCGCCACUGACGUUGAGGCUCGAAAGUGCGGGUAUCAAACAGGAUUAGAUACCCUGGUAGUCCGCACGGUAAACGAUGGAUACUCGCUGUUGGCGAUAGACUGUCAGCGGCCAAGCGAAAGCGUUAAGUAUCCCACCUGGGGAGUACGCCGGCAACGGUGAAACUCAAAGGAAUUGACGGGGGCCCGCACAAGCGGAGGAACAUGUGGUUUAAUUCGAUGAUACGCGAGGAACCUUACCCGGGCUUGAACUGCAGUGGAAUUAUCCGGAAACGGAUAAGCGAGCAAUCGCCGCUGUGGAGGUGCUGCAUGGUUGUCGUCAGCUCGUGCCGUGAGGUGUCGGCUUAAGUGCCAUAACGAGCGCAACCCUUGCUGCCAGUUACUAACAGGUCAUGCUGAGGACUCUGGCAGGACUGCCAUCGUAAGAUGCGAGGAAGGUGGGGAUGACGUCAAAUCAGCACGGCCCUUACGUCCGGGGCUACACACGUGUUACAAUGGGGAGUACAGAGGGCAGCUACCGGGCGACCGGAUGCGAAUCCCGAAAGCUCCUCUCAGUUCGGACUGGAGUCUGCAACCCGACUCCACGAAGCUGGAUUCGCUAGUAAUCGCGCAUCAGCCACGGCGCGGUGAAUACGUUCCCGGGCCUUGUACACACCGCCCGUCAAGCCAUGAAAGCCGGGGGUACC